This 474-nucleotide ribosomal RNA is filed under the name uncultured bacterium. RNAcentral's name for it is "bacterial SSU rRNA". It matches the Rfam family "Bacterial small subunit ribosomal RNA", at positions 27 to 518 of the family's 1533-position model. The record is from RNAcentral.
GGACGAACGCUGGCGGCGUGCCUAACACAUGCAAGUCGAGCGAGGAGAUCCUUCGGGAUGAUCCUAGCGGCGGACGGGUGAGUAACACGUGGGCAACCUGCCUCAUAGAGAGGAAUAGCCUUCCGAAAGGGAGAUUAAUACCUCAUAACAUUGCAGUUUCGCAUGGAACAGCAAUUAAAGGAGCAAUCCGCUAUGAGAUGGGCCCGCGGCGCAUUAGCUAGUUGGUGAGGUAACGGCUCACCAAGGCGACGAUGCGUAGCCGACCUGAGAGGGUGAUCGGCCACAUUGGGACUGAGACACGGCCCAGACUCCUACGGGAGGCAGCAGUGGGGAAUAUUGCACAAUGGGGGAAACCCUGAUGCAGCCAACGCCGCGUGAGUGAUGACGGCCUUCGGGUUGUAAAGCUCUGUCUUCAGGGACGAUAAUGACGGUACCUGAGGAGGAAGCCACGGCUAACUACGUGCCAGCAGCAGC